RNAcentral lists this ribosomal RNA (469 nucleotides) under uncultured bacterium. RNAcentral describes it as "partial 16S ribosomal RNA". It matches the Rfam family "Bacterial small subunit ribosomal RNA", at positions 28 to 507 of the family's 1533-position model. The record is from RNAcentral.
GACGAACGCUGGCGGCGUGCUUAACACAUGCAAGUCGAACGGAAAGGCCCUGCUUGCAGGGUGCUCGAGUGGCGAACGGGUGAGUAACACGUGGGUGAUCUGCCCCUUACUUUGGGAUAAGCCUGGGAAACUGGGUCUAAUACUGGAUAGGACCAUGCUGUAGGUGGUGUGGUGGAAAGAUUAGUUUCGGUAAGGGAUGAGCUCGCGGCCUAUCAGCUUGUUGGUGGGGUAAUGGCCUACCAAGGCGUCGACGGGUAGCCGGCCUGAGAGGGUGGACGGCAACAUUGAGACUGCGAUGCGGGGCAGACUCCUGCGAGAGGCAGCAGUGGGGGAUAUUGCACUAUAGGCGCACGCCUGGUGCGGCGAAGCCGCGUGGAGGGUGACGGCCUUCGGGUUGUGAACUCCUUUCGGCCAUGAAGAAGCCCUUGUGGUGACGUUAGUGGUAGAAGAAGCACCGGCUAACUACGUG